GGAAUAAAAGUCGUAACAAGGUCUCCGUUGGUGAACCAGCGGAGGGAUCAUUACCGAGUGCAAACUCAUAACCCUUUGUGAACCUAUAUCUGUUGCUUCGGCGGCUCGCUCUCGGGCGAGCCCGCCGGUAAUAUCAGUAUCUCUGUUUGAACCCGACGAUACUUCUGAGUGUUCUUAGCGAACAGUUAAAACUUUUAACAACGGAUCUCUUGGCUCUA
This 218-nucleotide unclassified non-coding RNA is filed under the name plant metagenome. RNAcentral describes it as "partial contains small subunit ribosomal RNA, internal transcribed spacer 1, and 5.8S ribosomal RNA". The stretch from base 1 to 53 matches the Rfam family "Eukaryotic small subunit ribosomal RNA", at positions 1779 to 1831 of the family's 1831-position model. The record is from RNAcentral.